AUACGGAGGGUGCAAGCGUUGUUCGGAUUUAUUGGGCGUAAAGCGAGUGUAGGCGGCUUGACAAGUCGGAUGUGAAAUCCCGGGGCCCAACCCCGGAACUGCAUCCGAUACUGUCAGGCUAGAGUCCCGGAGAGGGUGGCGGAAUUCCCGGUGUAGGGGUGAAAUCCGUAGAUAUCGGGAGGAACACCAGUGGCGAAGGCGGCCACCUGGACGGUGACUGACGCUGAGACUCGAAAGCGUGGGUAGCAAACAGGAUUAGAAACCCCAGUAGUCC
This 274-nucleotide ribosomal RNA is filed under the name uncultured bacterium. Its description in RNAcentral is "partial 16S ribosomal RNA". It matches the Rfam family "Bacterial small subunit ribosomal RNA", at positions 523 to 796 of the family's 1533-position model. The record is from RNAcentral.